CCAAGCUGGGGCUGCUGGGUAGCUGAGGGCAGCUGCCAUGGCUCAUAGGAAGAGGAGAGUGAAAGCAGGAAGGAGGCUUGAGGGGGCCGGCUCUGAGAGGCACAAGGCACAACCCAGGGAAAGGCCUCAGAAAAAGCCAGUGUUGCCAGGAAGAGGGAUGGAGGAAGCAAGAAGGAAAGAAUGAGCAAGAGGACCAUAAGGAGCAGAUGAGGAGAAACAUUGUACCAGCAACGCCCUGGCCCGGGCCUCAUCUGAGGGCCUGGUGGUGUGGAGGCAAAGGCGUCUUUGGAGGCGCUGCUCGCUGAGGCAGCCAAAGCCUUCCUUCCACCUGGCUGUCACUUGGAGAGCCUGUGAGGACCUCCUGCUGCUGUGCACCCCUGCCCAGGCCCUCCUCAGCCCAGGGACUCGAAGUGAGCACUUGACCGCUUCCUCGGCAUCCCAGAGUCAGCUCCAGGUCAAGUCAAAGCUGACUUCACUGCGCUCUGCCCCCAGCGCCUUCUCCACCUCUGUGCAUGCCCCAGUCAGGACCCCACAUCCCAG
Molecule: long non-coding RNA, 540 nt
Filed under: Heterocephalus glaber (naked mole-rat)
Lineage: Eukaryota; Metazoa; Chordata; Mammalia; Rodentia; Bathyergidae
Description: lncRNA (ENSHGLG00100040791.1)
Source: RNAcentral